This 496-nucleotide ribosomal RNA is filed under the name uncultured bacterium. Its description in RNAcentral is "partial 16S ribosomal RNA". It matches the Rfam family "Bacterial small subunit ribosomal RNA", at positions 28 to 507 of the family's 1533-position model. The record is from RNAcentral.
GAUGAACGCUGGCGGCGUGCCUAAUACAUGCAAGUCGAGCGAACGGACGAGAAGCUUGCUUCUCUGAUGUUAGCGGCGGACGGGUGAGUAACACGUGGAUAACCUACCUAUAAGACUGGGAUAACUUCGGGAAACCGGAGCUAAUACCGGAUGAUAUUUUGAACCGCAUGGUUCAAAAGUGAAAGACGGUCUUGCUGUCACUUAUAGAUGGAUCCGCGCUGCAUUAGCUAGUUGGUAAGGUAACGGCUUACCAAGGCAACGAUGCAUAGCCGACCUGAGAGGGUGAUCGGCAACACUGGAACUGAGACACGGUCCAGACUCCUACGGGAGGCAGCGUAGGGAAUCUUCCGCAAUGGGCGAAAGCCUGACGGAGCAACGCCGCGUGAGUGAUGAAGGUCUUCGGAUCGUAAAACUCUGUUAUUAGGGAAGAACAUAUGUGUAAGUAACUGUGCACAUCUUGACGGUACCUAAUCAGAAAGCCACGGCUAACUACGUG